Molecule: long non-coding RNA, 371 nt
Organism: Erinaceus europaeus (western European hedgehog)
Lineage: Eukaryota; Metazoa; Chordata; Mammalia; Eulipotyphla; Erinaceidae
Exons: 3
Source: RefSeq, a predicted model, not a curated record
CCACCAGGUUGUACAAGCUACCACAAUGCCAACCUGACUUCCCUGGAAAGACAAUCUCAUCAGUUGUCCUGGAACUGCACCUCCCUAGAACCUUGCUCCACUAAAGAAAGACAUAAACAGAGAGACUUCUGGAGGUGGGGCUAGAGUAGCAGCAGCUGUUUCUCUCUCCUCUAUCCAGUCACUAAGAAUAAGAAAGAAGAUCACCUGAGAACACAGCAAGACAAGACUCAAAAUACUUUGGGAACCCACCAAGUCAUGGAGAAUCAUCUGAAACUAAUUUAAGUGCCAGUUUGCUACAUGAGAGAAGAGAAUACAGUGCUCCGCAUGUCCCCCAUGGUACUUAUCAGCAGCCCCCACCUCUGGAUGAUGAA